RNAcentral lists this microRNA precursor (78 nucleotides) under Schistosoma mattheei. Its description in RNAcentral is "mir-3492 microRNA precursor family". It matches the Rfam family "mir-3492 microRNA precursor family". The record is from Rfam by way of RNAcentral. Lineage: Eukaryota; Metazoa; Platyhelminthes; Trematoda; Strigeidida; Schistosomatidae.
AGCUUUCCAAAUCUUGGCAUAGAUUUCGUCAGACACCAACCCAUUAAAGCUGAUCAGACUUCCAAGAUAAGUGAAGUA